This 235-nucleotide long non-coding RNA is filed under the name Oryza brachyantha (malo sina). RNAcentral describes it as "long non-coding RNA (OBRA_LNC000832)". Lineage: Eukaryota; Viridiplantae; Streptophyta; Magnoliopsida; Poales; Poaceae. The record is from RNAcentral.
CCUCCACUCCGGCCGCCAUCGCCCCUCCUCCGUGCUGUAUGUGUGUUGUGAGAGAGAAAACAGAAGAGGAGAAGAGAGGAUACGGGAGCAGGAGGAAGGAAAGAGAAGAAGAGAAGGAAGGGAGGUGGGAAGUAAAUGAUGAGGGCCCCACUGGACCCCACCCUCCUUUUAUUUGCUGCCCCCCUGCGCCACACAGAAAAGAAGAAGAGAAGAGGAGAGGCUACGCGAGAAGGGA